GCGGCUGCACUUCUCUCCGUUGGUGAGUCAACACAUGUUGGGUGAGAGCGAGAACCGCGUCUUGAAGGUAGCCGGCUCUUCGGAGUCGGUGUUAUAGCUAGGCGUGUACACAUCUCUGACCCGACAUGGGACACGUGCACUACAUUCCCUUCGGGGAUGGCCUUCGGGCACACAUGUAGGUAAAGUUGUUGGCGGUCAAAUGAUUUCAUACGACCCGUCUUGAAACACGGACCAAGGAGUCUAACAUGUGUGCGAGUCUUCGAGUGAUCGAAACUCACAGGCGAAAUGAAAGUGACAUUGAGGUGAGAUCUCGGUGCAUGCACCCAGCGCAUCAUCAACCGACCUACUAUCUUGCGAUUCAGGUUUGAGUAAGAGCACAUAUGCUGGGACCCGAAAGAUGGUGAACUAUGCUUGAGUAGGGUGAAGCCAGAAGAAAUUCUGGUGGAGGCUCGUAGCGAUUCUGACGUGCAAAUCGAUCGUCAAACUUGUGCAUAGGGGCGAAAGACUAAUCGAACCAUUUAGUAGCUGGUUCCCUCCGAAGUUUCCCUUAGGAUAGCUGGAGCUCGGAGUAUCAGUUUCAUCCGGUAAAGCGAAUGAUUAGAGGUAUCAGGGAUGAAACAUUUUUGACCUAUUCUCAAACUUUUAAUGGGUGAGAAGUUCGACCUGCCUAGCGGAGGUUCGAACAUUACGCGAAUGAAGGAGCUCCAAGUGGGCCAUUUUUGGUAAGCAGAACUGGCGAUGCGGGAUGAACCGAACGUAAGAGUUAAGGCGCCCAAAUCGACGCUCAUCAGACCCCACAAAAGGUGUUGGUUGAUCCAGACAGCAGGACGGUGGCCAUGGAAGUCGGAAUCCGCUAAGGAGUGUGUAACAACCCACCUGCCGAAUCAACUAGCCCUGAAAAUGGAUGGCGCUCAAGCGUCGUGCCUAUACUCUACCCACACCGUGAGCAGUGGCAGUGUGGAGUAGGAGGGCGUGGAGGUUGUGCAGAAGCCCUUGGUGUGAACCUGGGUGGAACGGCCUCUAGUGCAGAUCUUGGUGGUAGUAGCAAAUAUUCAAACGAGAACUUUGAAGGCCGAAGUGGAGAAAGGUUCCAUGUGAACAGCAGUUGGACAUGGGUUAGUCGAUCCUAAGGAUCAAGUUAACUCUGACGUGUAACGGUCACUUUCAACGGUGACCUCGAGCCGAAAGGGGAUCAGGUUAAUAUUCCUGAACCAGAACGCGGAUAUCUGUGGUCGUCUCGCGACGGGCACAGUGUUACGGCAACGUAAGUGAACCCAGAGACGUCGUCGGGCACCCCGGGGAGAGUUCUCUUUUCUUGUUAACAGUCUGUAGGGACCGUGGAAUUUGCUUGCCAAGAGAUACGGUCCACGAGACUGGUAAAGCCCUACAUUUGCUGUAGGGUCCGGUGCGUCCCCGAAGGCCCUUGAAAAUCUGGGGGAGAGAAUGAUUUUCGCGUCUGUUCGUACUCAUAACCGCAGCAGGUCUCCAAGGUGAGCAGCCUCUGGCCG
Molecule: ribosomal RNA, 1508 nt
Filed under: Callicarpa gracilis
Lineage: Eukaryota; Metazoa; Cnidaria; Hydrozoa; Leptothecata; Plumulariidae
Description: partial large subunit ribosomal RNA
Rfam family: Eukaryotic large subunit ribosomal RNA
Source: RNAcentral